Long non-coding RNA from Drosophila pseudoobscura, 1543 nucleotides. RefSeq lists it as uncharacterized. The transcript has 2 exons. The record is from RefSeq and is a predicted model, not a curated record. NCBI's taxonomy places the organism in Eukaryota, Metazoa, Arthropoda, Insecta, Diptera, Drosophilidae.
CCGAUUCUCCAGAGAUUUGAAAUUCAUCUUCCAGUUAGCAGUUACUUACCGUUCUUACCCAAGGAAUGCUCCUCAAGCUCCUCUGAGGUGCUCGCACAAAGAGGAGAACAGAACCAUUUUUUUUAUAUAUUCGUUCGUUGGACUCUGCUAUACAUUUCAAGGUUGUCUUCACAUCUGCCUGCUCCGACUGCCAUAUACCUUAUACGAGAAUGCAUCAACAGCAAGAAGAACAACAACAUCAGUCAACAAUACAGAACUUCAAACGAAGUCACUCUCAUCUGCGUCAGGGCGAAGGUGGAGCUGAAGAUGGAGACGACGAUGGAGCACCAGCAGGUGGGCAUGGGGCAGGGGCGGGUACCUUUGGGUCUGCAAGCCAGCUCGGGGAUCUUCUGGUUAAUGCGUUGUGUCCACAGCCGCUGCUGGCUGGCCCGCCGCAGCUCCAUCUUCAUCUUCAUCCAAUUGUUGAGCGACACCGACACACAUAAAACUUGAUGUGAUGCGUCUUCGUCUGCGUCUCGAAAUCCUCUUUAAAUUAAGAAAGAUGAUUUGCAGAUUUGAAUGCAGACACCGAAGACACCGAAGACUGGACAGACGGAGGGACCAGAACACGACCACGACCACGACCAAGACCAAGACCAAGACCCAACCAAGUGAUGUAAGCCUGCCAACGAAUUUAUUUGUUCUUUCGGGCUCGCUUCGGCCGGGGACCGCCUCUGGGGCUGCUGCAAUAAAAGAAAUCCCAAACAUACUUCAGUUUUUAGAGCCCGAGCAGCUAAUUUACGAUUAUUGGCUUUCAUCUUCUUUUCGACUAAGCCAAAUAAAUCCCCUCCCCAGGCCCCUGGGCCACUUUAUGAUUUGUUCAUGGCCAAGUCAAGUCCCCAGAGCCGUUAUAGAAUACGAGCAUGUCUGCGGAUCUGUCCAGAGACGGAAUAUGAAUGGAUCCAACGAUGGUCUAUGAUGACGGAGUGCACGAGAUUAGCAUCAUCUUCUAAGAGGUUUACUGACACUCGUAACAGUUUUAUUGGAGUGGUUUGAUGGUCUCUAUCGAUGAAAUCAUUUCACAGUUACUUUAAGACCCCUUCAAGUGAGAGAUUGAAUCGUUUGGGUAGAGCAUAGUCCACUUCACUCAAGAGUUCCAAUCAUGUAACACAGAAUCUAUGCAGUGAUAUGCAAAUACAGGGAAUUCUUCCACAUAAUAUAUGUUGAUUGUUAAUUUUACUCAGUAGUUUUUAUUAAAUCAAGAGUUUCCUUUUUUUGUGGUGGUUGUCAUACAAUUAAAGCAUACAAUAUGUCGUAUUUAUAUAUAGAAUAGUGUCUUGGCUCCUUUAAUCUCUCGUUGCCCGAUAUGCUAGUGGAAUGAUCAGUGUGGAUCGGAAAUUUCUACAGGGGCCCUCGGACCGCCCAGGCUGCGCAAUGGGUCCGCAGAGAGAAGCGACAUUUUCGGACGUUAUCCGGCCGGCUCUUGAAAAUGCUCGUUCCUCAGUGGAACCCAAUCCCUCAGUGGGUGGGACAGUCGGUGGGCCCCGGACCCAAACACACACAA